Molecule: unclassified non-coding RNA, 336 nt
Filed under: soil metagenome
Description: partial contains 5.8S ribosomal RNA, internal transcribed spacer 2, and large subunit ribosomal RNA
Rfam family: 5.8S ribosomal RNA (bases 1-120)
Source: RNAcentral
GAUGAAGAACGUAGCGAAAUGCAAUAAGUAAUGUGAAUUGCAGAAUUCCGUGAAUCAUCGAAUCUUUGAACGCACAUUGCGCCCCCUGGUAUUCCGGGGGGCAUGCCUGUCCGAGCGUCAUUGCAACCUUCAAGCGCGGCUUGUGUGUUGGGUCUCGUCCCCCGUGGACGGGCCCGAAAGGCAGUGGCGGCGUCCCGACAUGGUGCCCGAGCGUAUGGGAAUCCUCUUCCGCUCGAAUCGGCCCAUGCGGCGCUGGUCGUAACCAAAUUUUUUACCGGUUGACCUCGGAUCAGGUAGGGAUACCCGCUGAACUUAAGCAUAUCAAUAAGCGGAGGA